GAGUUGUUUUUGAGUUCAAUUGUGUUUUGUGCUUAUCUUAUAUUCAUAUAGCAUUCAAAGAUCCACGGUGCAUAUUGUCUUGGCAUCUUCCAAAACGAAAAGGAUCCAACAACCCUUCUAGGAGGAAUCAUUGUACGUAAUACUCUGGUUACUUAUGACCGGGAACAAUCGAAAAUUGGUUUCUGGAAGACUAAUUGUUCUGAGCUAUGGGAAAUGCUGCACAUACGUGGUGCGCCAUCACCAUCUCCAUCGUCACGUGACAGAGUAAUUCAACUGAGUCACCAGCUACAUCAGCUCCUGAUGGAUCACCACAUGAUAUUCCAGAUGAAACUGAGAUGAUAAAAAUUACAUUGGAUAUGUCAUUGAGCACAACUACUCAUACCUAAAGCCUCAGAUCAUCAAUCUGACAGAGUUCAUUGCUAAGGAUUUAGACGUCAAUGCUUCACAGGUCAUUUAUUGAAUUUUAGUCUGAAGGAAAUGGUUCAUGUCCGAUGGGACAUCACCCCUUCAGGAUCAUCAACUUACAUUUCUCAUGAGAGUGCAGAAAUAUAAUCUCUCGACUCGUUGAACACCACGUGAAGCUUCCUGAUAGCUUUGGAAAUUAUAAGUUGGUGCAAUGGAAAGUUGAAUCUUACAUGAAACAGACAUGGUGGCAGCGAAAUGGUGUGCCGGUUGUUGUGGCGGUUAUCGUGGUAAUAGUGGUUGGAUUAUCAGUUUAUGGAGUUUGGGGAAUGUGGAAACGCAAACAACAAAACGGUGAAUACAUAUAAACCUGUUGGUGCAGCUGUUCCGGAACAAGAACUUCAGCCACUAUAGUCUCUUUUCGGUUUUGGUUCCAGGUUUGGGAUAUGGCUUCUGAAUCCAUAUAGUUUAAUGGUGAAAGCGUUCUUUUUUCUUCUUCUUGCUCAUUAUUUCAAGAUUAGAAGUAUACAAAAGGAUUUUCCAAAGUGAGAGGAACUACUAAUCAAUAAAUAUGAAUCAGUUAAGAGGCUCAUUAAACAAUAUGUAUAGGUUUUGAUUGACAAGUUUUCUUUUGUUUGCGUUGCAACUUGCAAAUCUUCGGCAGACAAUAUUAGAGGCAAGAGCAGAUAGAUUUGGGUCUUGGUAUUGAAAAUUUGGGCACAACAUAUAUAAUUUUGAAUAAUUUUCUUAAUAUAAUUAAUGAAAUUAUUUUCUUCGUUUA
Hibiscus syriacus is the source of this 1183-nucleotide long non-coding RNA. RefSeq lists it as uncharacterized. The record is from RefSeq and is a predicted model, not a curated record. Lineage: Eukaryota; Viridiplantae; Streptophyta; Magnoliopsida; Malvales; Malvaceae. The transcript is spliced from 6 exons.